GUUUCCGUAGUGUAGUGGUUAUCACGUCCGCCUAACACGCGGAAGGUCGCCGGUUCAAACCCGGCCGGAAACA
This 73-nucleotide transfer RNA is filed under the name Orbicella faveolata. RNAcentral's name for it is "tRNA-Val". It matches the Rfam family "tRNA". Rfam says of the family: Transfer RNA (tRNA) molecules are approximately 80 nucleotides in length. Their secondary structure includes four short double-helical elements and three loops (D, anti-codon, and T loops). Lineage: Eukaryota; Metazoa; Cnidaria; Anthozoa; Scleractinia; Merulinidae. The record is from RNAcentral.